GCCUCGAUGGUGAAACUGGCAAACACAGGAGACUUAAAAUCUCCCGCCCUGAGAAGGGCUUAGCGGUUCGAGCCCGCUUCGAGGCACCA
Molecule: transfer RNA, 89 nt
Filed under: Variovorax sp.
Lineage: Bacteria; Pseudomonadati; Pseudomonadota; Betaproteobacteria; Burkholderiales; Comamonadaceae
Also listed under: 2 other names
Description: tRNA-Leu
Source: RNAcentral